Molecule: transfer RNA, 69 nt
Filed under: Sciurus carolinensis (gray squirrel)
Lineage: Eukaryota; Metazoa; Chordata; Mammalia; Rodentia; Sciuridae
Also listed under: 2 other names
Rfam family: tRNA
About the family: Transfer RNA (tRNA) molecules are approximately 80 nucleotides in length.
Source: Rfam by way of RNAcentral
GUAAAUAUAGUUUAAACAAAACAUUAGAUUGUGAAUCUAAUAAUAGAAGAUAAUAUCCUCUUAUUUACC